RNAcentral lists this ribosomal RNA (465 nucleotides) under Vreelandella stevensii. RNAcentral describes it as "partial 16S ribosomal RNA". It matches the Rfam family "Bacterial small subunit ribosomal RNA", at positions 338 to 795 of the family's 1533-position model. Lineage: Bacteria; Pseudomonadati; Pseudomonadota; Gammaproteobacteria; Oceanospirillales; Halomonadaceae. The record is from RNAcentral.
CCUACGGGGGGCUGCAGUGGGGAAUAUUGGACAAUGGGGGCAACCCUGAUCCAGCCAUGCCGCGUGUGUGAAGAAGGCCCUCGGGUUGUAAAGCACUUUCAGUGAGGAAGAACGCCUGGUGGUUAAUACCCGUCAGGAAAGACAUCACUCACAGAAGAAGCACCGGCUAACUCCGUGCCAGCAGCCGCGGUAAUACGGAGGGUGCGAGCGUUAAUCGGAAUUACUGGGCGUAAAGCGCGCGUAGGUGGCUUGAUAAGCCGGUUGUGAAAGCCCCGGGCUCAACCUGGGAACGGCAUCCGGAACUGUCAAGCUAGAGUGCAGGAGAGGAAGGUAGAAUUCCCGGUGUAGCGGUGAAAUGCGUAGAGAUCGGGAGGAAUACCAGUGGCGAAGGCGGCCUUCUGGACUGACACUGACACUGAGGUGCGAAAGCGUGGGUAGCAAACAGGAUUAGAUACCCGGGUAGUC